RNAcentral lists this ribosomal RNA (1793 nucleotides) under Escherichia coli. RNAcentral describes it as "partial 23S ribosomal RNA". It matches the Rfam family "Bacterial large subunit ribosomal RNA", at positions 608 to 2385 of the family's 2925-position model. The record is from RNAcentral. Lineage: Bacteria; Pseudomonadati; Pseudomonadota; Gammaproteobacteria; Enterobacterales; Enterobacteriaceae.
UUGUAUAAUGGGUCAGCGACUUAUAUUCUGUAGCAAGGUUAACCGAAUAGGGGAGCCGAAGGGAAACCGAGUCUUAACUGGGCGUUAAGUUGCAGGGUAUAGACCCGAAACCCGGUGAUCUAGCCAUGGGCAGGUUGAAGGUUGGGUAACACUAACUGGAGGACCGAACCGACUAAUGUUGAAAAAUUAGCGGAUGACUUGUGGCUGGGGGUGAAAGGCCAAUCAAACCGGGAGAUAGCUGGUUCUCCCCGAAAGCUAUUUAGGUAGCGCCUCGUGAAUUCAUCUCCGGGGGUAGAGCACUGUUUCGGCAAGGGGGUCAUCCCGACUUACCAACCCGAUGCAAACUGCGAAUACCGGAGAAUGUUAUCACGGGAGACACACGGCGGGUGCUAACGUCCGUCGUGAAGAGGGAAACAACCCAGACCGCCAGCUAAGGUCCCAAAGUCAUGGUUAAGUGGGAAACGAUGUGGGAAGGCCCAGACAGCCAGGAUGUUGGCUUAGAAGCAGCCAUCAUUUAAAGAAAGCGUAAUAGCUCACUGGUCGAGUCGGCCUGCGCGGAAGAUGUAACGGGGCUAAACCAUGCACCGAAGCUGCGGCAGCGACACUAUGUGUUGUUGGGUAGGGGAGCGUUCUGUAAGCCUGUGAAGGUGUACUGUGAGGUAUGCUGGAGGUAUCAGAAGUGCGAAUGCUGACAUAAGUAACGAUAAAGCGGGUGAAAAGCCCGCUCGCCGGAAGACCAAGGGUUCCUGUCCAACGUUAAUCGGGGCAGGGUGAGUCGACCCCUAAGGCGAGGCCGAAAGGCGUAGUCGAUGGGAAACAGGUUAAUAUUCCUGUACUUGGUGUUACUGCGAAGGGGGGACGGAGAAGGCUAUGUUGGCCGGGCGACGGUUGUCCCGGUUUAAGCGUGUAGGCUGGUUUUCCAGGCAAAUCCGGAAAACCAAGGCUGAGGCGUGAUGACGAGGCACUACGGUGCUGAAGCGACAAAUGCCCUGCUUCCAGGAAAAGCCUCUAAGCAUCAGGUAACAUUAAAUCGUACCCCAAACCGACACAGGUGGUCAGGUAGAGAAUACCAAGGCGCUUGAGAGAACUCGGGUGAAGGAACUAGGCAAAAUGGUGCCGUAACUUCGGGAGAAGGCACGCUGAUAUGUAGGUGAAGCGACUUGCUCGUGGAGCUGAAAUCAGUCGAAGAUACCAGCUGGCUGCAACUGUUUAUUAAAAACACAGCACUGUGCAAACACGAAAGUGGACGUAUACGGUGUGACGCCUGCCCGGUGCCGGAAGGUUAAUUGAUGGGGUUAGCGGUAACGCGAAGCUCUUGAUCGAAGCCCCGGUAAACGGCGGCCGUAACUAUAACGGUCCUAAGGUAGCGAAAUUCCUUGUCGGGUAAGUUCCGACCUGCACGAAUGGCGUAAUGAUGGCCAGGCUGUCUCCACCCGAGACUCAGUGAAAUUGAACUCGCUGUGAAGAUGCAGUGUACCCGCGGCAAGACGGAAAGACCCCGUGAACCUUUACUAUAGCUUGACACUGAACAUUGAGCCUUGAUGUGUAGGAUAGGUGGGAGGCUUUGAAGUGUGGACGCCAGUCUGCAUGGAGCCGACCUUGAAAUACCACCCUUUAAUGUUUGAUGUUCUAACGUGGGCCCCUUACCGGGGUUGCGGACAGUGUCUGGUGGGUAGUUUGACUGGGGCGGUCUCCUCCUAAAGAGUAACGGAGGAGCACGAAGGUUGGCUAAUCCUGGUCGGACAUCAGGAGGUUAGUGCAAUGGCAUAAGCCAGCUUGACUGCGAGCGUGAC